AUGGCCAAAUCACAUUGAAACACUGGUUCCUGUAUGAUCACUGAAGUUAAACAAUGUUGAGCUUGGUCAGUACUUAGAUGAAUGAAUACUUGGGAAUACCAAGUGCUGUAA
Molecule: non-coding RNA, 111 nt
Organism: Acanthosepion pharaonis
Lineage: Eukaryota; Metazoa; Mollusca; Cephalopoda; Sepiida; Sepiidae
Source: the annotation of a GenBank genome assembly